AUACGGAGGGGGCUAGCGUUGUUCGGAAUUACUGGGCGUAAAGCGUACGUAGGCGGACUGAUCAGUUGGGGGUGAGAUCCCAGGGCUUAACCCUGGAACUGCCUUCAAUACUGUCAGUCUUGAGUUUGGGAGAGGUGAGUGGAAUUCCUAGUGUAGAGGUGAAAUUCAUAGAUAUUAGGAGGAACACCAGUGGCGAAGGCGGCUCACUGGCCCAUUACUGACGCUGAGGUACGAAAGCGUGGGGAGCAAACAGGAUUAGAAACCCCAGUAGUCC
RNAcentral lists this ribosomal RNA (274 nucleotides) under uncultured bacterium. RNAcentral describes it as "partial 16S ribosomal RNA". It matches the Rfam family "Bacterial small subunit ribosomal RNA", at positions 523 to 796 of the family's 1533-position model. The record is from RNAcentral.